GGCGGUGUAGCUCAGAUGGUUAGAGCGACGGACUCAUAACCCGUAGGUCACAGGUUCGAUUCCUGUCACCGCCACCA
This 77-nucleotide transfer RNA is filed under the name Terriglobus saanensis SP1PR4. RNAcentral describes it as "tRNA-Met (CAT) (tRNA-Met-CAT-1-1)". It matches the Rfam family "tRNA". Rfam says of the family: Transfer RNA (tRNA) molecules are approximately 80 nucleotides in length. Their secondary structure includes four short double-helical elements and three loops (D, anti-codon, and T loops). The record is from RNAcentral. Lineage: Bacteria; Pseudomonadati; Acidobacteriota; Terriglobia; Terriglobales; Acidobacteriaceae.